RNAcentral lists this ribosomal RNA (576 nucleotides) under Micromonospora sp. Its description in RNAcentral is "bacterial SSU rRNA". It matches the Rfam family "Bacterial small subunit ribosomal RNA", at positions 246 to 837 of the family's 1533-position model. Lineage: Bacteria; Bacillati; Actinomycetota; Actinomycetes; Micromonosporales; Micromonosporaceae. The record is from RNAcentral.
CUGUGGUGGGGGUGAUGGCCUACCAAGGCGACGACGGGUAGCCGGCUGAGAGGGCGACGGCCCACUGGGACUGAGACACGGCCCAGACUCUACGGGAGGCAGCAGUGGGGAAUAUUGCACAAUGGGCGGAAGCCUGAUGCAGCGACGCCGCGUGAGGGAUGACGGCUUUCGGGUUGUAAACCUCUUUCAGCAGGGACGAAGCGCAAGUGACGGUACCUGCAGAAGAAGCGCCGGCCAACUACGUGCCAGCAGCCGCGGUAAGACGUAGGGCGCGAGCGUUGUCCGGAUUUAUUGGGCGUAAAGAGCUCGUAGGCGGCUUGUCGCGUCGACCGUGAAAACUUGGGGCUCAACCCCAAGCCUGCGGUCGAUACGGGCAGGCUAGAGUUCGGUAGGGGAGACUGGAAUUCCUGGUGUAGCGGUGAAAUGCGCAGAUAUCAGGAGGAACACCGGUGGCGAAGGCGGGUCUCUGGGCCGAUACUGACGCUGAGGAGCGAAAGCGUGGGGAGCGAACAGGAUUAGAUACCCUGGUAGUCCACGCUGUAAACGUUGGGCGCUAGGUGUGGGGGGCCUUCCGGU